AAAAAAUUACGAAAAACCGAAGCUUACCAGCGGCGGUGCUCUCGGGUGCGGCGGCUCUCCGGCGAGGUUCGUGUUUUGGUGAUUUGACUCCGAUCAACCUGUAGAGAAAAGAAUGGUGAUCAAGGUUAUAUAAAAAUUGUAUCAAACAGAGGCUGGAAAGGGCCUCAUCGGAGGCAAAAACUGAGGAGGGACGCGGCAGCGCCGCUGGGUU
Molecule: long non-coding RNA, 211 nt
Filed under: Carica papaya (papaya)
Lineage: Eukaryota; Viridiplantae; Streptophyta; Magnoliopsida; Brassicales; Caricaceae
Description: long non-coding RNA (CPAP_LNC014809)
Source: RNAcentral